This 220-nucleotide long non-coding RNA is filed under the name Lathyrus oleraceus (garden pea). Its description in RNAcentral is "Pisum sativum (pea) long non-coding RNA (PSAT_LNC017288)". Lineage: Eukaryota; Viridiplantae; Streptophyta; Magnoliopsida; Fabales; Fabaceae. The record is from RNAcentral.
ACAAACUUGUCGAUGUUGGGGAACAAUACCAAUCCAUAGAUGAGAAGCACAAAUAUGGCUUCAAAAGCAUCCUCACUCAUGGCCUUCCCAUAAACGGUAGCUUGAGCGAUGAGGAACUCAAAAGGAAGACCUUGAAUUCCACCUUUGGUAGUCAUAUGAGCUUUAACCAAGGCUUCAUCUAUGUGCAACAUGCCAGCUAUCUCUUGAUAAGUAGGAAUAC